RNAcentral lists this ribosomal RNA (434 nucleotides) under uncultured Lachnospiraceae bacterium. Its description in RNAcentral is "partial 16S ribosomal RNA". It matches the Rfam family "Bacterial small subunit ribosomal RNA", at positions 341 to 792 of the family's 1533-position model. Lineage: Bacteria; Bacillati; Bacillota; Clostridia; Lachnospirales; Lachnospiraceae. The record is from RNAcentral.
ACGGAAGGCAGCAGUGGGGAAUAUUGCACAAUGGGGGAAACCCUGAUGCAGCGACGCCGCGUGAGUGAAGAAGUAUUUCGGUAUGUAAAGCUCUAUCAGCAGGAAAGAAAAUGACGGUACCUGACUAAGAAGCCCCGGCUAACUACGUGCCAGCAGCCGCGGUAAUACGUAGGGGGCAAGCGUUAUCCGGAUUUACUGGGUGUAAAGGGAGUGUAGACGGCUUUGCAAGUCUGAAGUGAAAGCCCGGGGCUCAACCCCGGAACUGCUUUGGAAACUGUAGAGCUGGAGUGCAGGAGAGGUAAGUGGAAUUCCUAGUGUAGCGGUGAAAUGCGUAGAUAUUAGGAGGAACACCAGUGGCGAAGGCGGCUUACUGGACUGUAACUGACGUUGAGGCUCGAAGGCGUGGGGAGCAAACAGGAUUAGAUACCCUGGUA